GGUGAGGUGCCUGAGAGGCUUAAGGGCGCACAUUGGAAAUGUGAUGGGGGCGCAAGUCCCACCAGAGUUCGAAUCUCUGUCUCACCGCCA
Molecule: transfer RNA, 90 nt
Filed under: Novimethylophilus kurashikiensis
Lineage: Bacteria; Pseudomonadati; Pseudomonadota; Betaproteobacteria; Nitrosomonadales; Methylophilaceae
Description: tRNA-Ser
Rfam family: tRNA
About the family: Transfer RNA (tRNA) molecules are approximately 80 nucleotides in length.
Source: RNAcentral